UUCUGACCUCGAAUCAGGUGGGACUACCCGCUGAACUUAAGCAUAUCAAUAAGCGGAGGAAAAGAAACUAACAAGGAUUCCCUUAGUAACUGCGAGUGAAGUGGGAUGAGCUCAAAUUUAAAAUCUGGUAGUCUCUGGCUGCCCGAGUUGUAAUCUAGAGAAGUGUUUUCUGUGCUGGACUGUGUUUAAGUUUCCUGGAUAUGGG
RNAcentral lists this ribosomal RNA (205 nucleotides) under Hydnum boreorepandum. RNAcentral describes it as "partial 28S ribosomal RNA". It matches the Rfam family "Eukaryotic large subunit ribosomal RNA", at positions 1 to 200 of the family's 3401-position model. The record is from RNAcentral. Lineage: Eukaryota; Fungi; Basidiomycota; Agaricomycetes; Cantharellales; Hydnaceae.